Molecule: unclassified non-coding RNA, 374 nt
Filed under: Hevea brasiliensis (rubber tree)
Lineage: Eukaryota; Viridiplantae; Streptophyta; Magnoliopsida; Malpighiales; Euphorbiaceae
Source: RNAcentral
UCUAGAUAUAAAGCAGCGCUUUAUGCAAAAAGCAACCUCAAAUACAGGUCUAUGGAUUCCAAAAGUAAUAACUCGAUGAUUAGAUUUGGGACUUCCCAAUGAAGAUCCCAGCUUUUAAUACAAUUUAGAUGAUCAUGAGGGAAUUGGGAGAUGGAUAGUGUUACCCUCCAUUGUGUGAUAUUGGCCACAGGCCCUCAAUGGCAUCAUAUUGUGCAGGUUUAACAACCAUGCGUAUCACCACUGGGAACCUCAGUCAUACCCAUCACUGGGAAACAUGUGAAGAUUCUAAAUAUGAUGAUCAUAUUUUACUACAUAUCCCGAGUCUACAAUACUAAGUAUACAAUGACAACAAAAAUUAAAUAUGUCAACAAAAG